RNAcentral lists this ribosomal RNA (497 nucleotides) under uncultured bacterium. Its description in RNAcentral is "partial 16S ribosomal RNA". It matches the Rfam family "Bacterial small subunit ribosomal RNA", at positions 28 to 507 of the family's 1533-position model. The record is from RNAcentral.
GAUGAACGCUGGUGGCGUGCCUAAUACAUGCAAGUCGAGCGAACGGACGAGAAGCUUGCUUCUCUGAUGUUAGCGGCGGACGGGUGAGUAACACGUGGAUAACCUACCUAUAAGACUGGGAUAACUUCGGGAAACCGGAGCUAAUACCGGAUAAUAUUUUGAACCGCAUGGUUCAAAAGUGAAAGACGGUCUUGCUGUCACUUAUAGAUGGAUCCGCGCUGCAUUAGCUAGUUGGUAAGGUAACGGCUUACCAAGGCAACGAUGCAUAGCCGACCUGAGAGGGUGAUCGGCCACACUGGAACUGAGACACGGUCCAGACUCCUACGGGAGGCAGCAGUAGGGAAUCUUCCGCAAUGGGCGAAAGCCUGACGGAGCAACGCCGCGUGAGUGAUGAAGGUCUUCGGAUCGUAAAACUCUGUUAUUAGGGAAGAACAUAUGUGUAAGUAACUGUGCACAUCUUGACGGUACCUAACCAGAAAGCCACGGCUAACUACGUG